Molecule: ribosomal RNA, 425 nt
Filed under: uncultured rumen bacterium
Lineage: Bacteria
Description: bacterial SSU rRNA
Rfam family: Bacterial small subunit ribosomal RNA
Source: RNAcentral
GUGAGGAAUAUUGGUCAAUGGGCGGAAGCCUGAACCAGCCAUGCCGCGUGAAGGAAUAAGGCCCUAUGGGUCGUAAACUUCUUUUGACGGGGAGCAAUAAGGGUCACGCGUGGCCCGAUGAGAGUACUCGUCGAAUAAGCAUCGGCUAACUCCGUGCCAGCAGCCGCGGUAAUACGGAGGAUGCAAGCGUUAUCCGGAUUUAUUGGGUUUAAAGGGUGCGUAGGCGGACGUGUAAGUCAGGGGUGAAAUACCGGGGCUCAACCUCGGAACUGCCUUUGAUACUGCAUGUCUGGAGUUCGGAUGCCGUGGGAGGAAUGGGCAGUGUAGCGGUGAAAUGCAUAGAUAUUGCCCAGAACACCGAUUGCGAAGGCAUCUCACGAAUCCGACACUGACGCUGAGGCACGAAAGCGUGGGGAUCAAACAGG